Molecule: long non-coding RNA, 603 nt
Organism: Musca domestica (house fly)
Lineage: Eukaryota; Metazoa; Arthropoda; Insecta; Diptera; Muscidae
Exons: 2
Source: RefSeq, a predicted model, not a curated record
ACCAUGGUAGAAAUAUCAGGUAGCAACAUAGGCGAAAAUUACAACAAAGCAACUUUUUUGGAAACUUGAUAUGUCAAAAUUGAAAGCAAAGCGAAUUUACCUGACAUAUAAAAUUUGAAGCAAAUUGGUUUGCACCAAUUAGAACAAUUUUGAAAUAUUGAAAAAUAGUGUUUAUUUUUAAAUUUGUAUUGAAAUUUCAAGCAAGAAAAUGUUGUGUUGUUGUGAAUUGUACUGUUUUGUACGUUUCCCGGUUUAAGAGAACUCGAUAAAAGCAAACAAUAGCAUAUAAAAAUGCGAUAAAUGCCCGCGGAAUGGAAAUCUCAAUGGAAACAAAUUCAAUAAGAAUUCAGAAAACUCAAUAUAUGAGGAAGGAACCAUCAACAAUAUCAACAUUAAACGAAACAGAUGUUAAUUUCUCGUUUUAUGAGCUUCAUGGAUUUUCAAAAUUUUGAGCCUUUGUGGGGGAGGCACCAGAAGGAAUGGACCGAUAUACCCAUCUUCACAGCUUAUCUUGAGUUAGUAGAAAUAAUGGGAUGUGUAAAAUAUAAAAAGAAUAUGAUGCCUGUUUCGGAUUAAAUAAACGUUUUGGUUAUUCAAAAAAUA